This is a long non-coding RNA of Salmo salar (Atlantic salmon), 722 nucleotides long. RefSeq lists it as uncharacterized. The record is from RefSeq and is a predicted model, not a curated record. Lineage: Eukaryota; Metazoa; Chordata; Actinopteri; Salmoniformes; Salmonidae.
AUGACGUAUUGAAAGGUAUAAAAACCUACCAUAAACACAAUUUCAGUCUUUCGAAAGUAUGUAGUGCAGAGAAUAUGUAUCCGGCAGAAUAUUUAUUUUUCGGUUUUGGGGGUAACUAUUUGCAUCAACUCGUAGCAAAAUGUUUCAAAGACACUCUACGAACUCCAGUGUCGACCAGCCACCGUGAGUGUAAAUUAGCCGUUUGAAUUGACUCCCAUCUUAACUCACGUGGAUUGACGUCAGAAAUCCUAUGCGCAUCGCACUCAAGAGUGUUGUGGCCUCAGAGGGUGAAGGGACAGUUGCUUGGUCUGCCAACCUGGGUGUGAUCCCAUGAAAAUGUUCCAAUGAAGUUACUCCUAUUAGAGCAGGUCUGCCAACCUGGAUGUGAACGCCUGAAAAUACAGCAAGUAAUGCCAUUGGAAUCAGAUCAGGUAAUGGGGUCAAAGAUGUGCCAAGGACAGGACUCAAGAACUGAAAUUCACCGAAGGAUCAGUGACUGACUAAAAUAAACUAGUUCAAUGCAAACAUUAGACAAUGUCAAGUUUAAUGGCGUACUUAAAACCAGAAAGUCACAGGGCUCUAAGCCCCAGUUAAUCAGUGUGAAAGGCUGAAUUGUAAGGUGCUUUCUUGAGUGUCCAGGAAGAACUGCUCAUCCUGCAGAAAGUUACAAUCCUAAGAAGAUUAAACGAGUACAUUUAUCUACAAUAAAGAUUUUGAAACAA